RNAcentral lists this transfer RNA (77 nucleotides) under Azorhizobium caulinodans. RNAcentral describes it as "tRNA-Asp". It matches the Rfam family "tRNA". Rfam says of the family: Transfer RNA (tRNA) molecules are approximately 80 nucleotides in length. Their secondary structure includes four short double-helical elements and three loops (D, anti-codon, and T loops). Further hydrogen bonds mediate the characteristic L-shaped molecular structure. tRNAs have two regions of fundamental functional importance: the anti-codon, which is responsible for specific mRNA codon recognition, and the 3' end, to which the tRNAs corresponding amino acid is attached (by aminoacyl-tRNA synthetases). tRNAs cope with the degeneracy of the genetic code in two manners: having more than one tRNA (with a specific anti-codon) for a particular amino acid; and 'wobble' base-pairing, i.e. permitting non-standard base-pairing at the 3rd anti-codon position. The record is from RNAcentral. Lineage: Bacteria; Pseudomonadati; Pseudomonadota; Alphaproteobacteria; Hyphomicrobiales; Xanthobacteraceae. RNAcentral also lists the same sequence under 195 other names.
GGGGGUGUAGCUCAGUUGGUUAGAGCGCCGGCCUGUCACGCCGGAGGUCGCGGGUUCGAGCCCCGUCACUCCCGCCA